Molecule: ribosomal RNA, 309 nt
Filed under: uncultured Planctomycetota bacterium
Lineage: Bacteria; Pseudomonadati; Planctomycetota
Description: bacterial SSU rRNA
Rfam family: Bacterial small subunit ribosomal RNA
Source: RNAcentral
AGUGAACGUUGGCGGCGUGGAUUAGGCAUGCAAGUCGAGCGAGAACCGUAGCAAUACGGGGACAGCGGCGAAAGGGACAGUAAUGUGUAGGUACCUACCCCGGGGUCUGGGAUAGCUGCGGGAAACUGCAGGUAAUACCGGAUAAUGUCUUCGGACCAAAGGUGUGAUUCCACCUUGGGAGGGGCCUGCAUCCUAUUAGCUUGUUGGCGGGGUAACGGCCCACCAAGGCAACGAUGGGUAGCGGGUGUGAGAGCACGACCCGCGUCAUUGGGACUGAGAUACUGCCCAGACACCUACGGGGUGGCGACG